UUUUUUUAUUUUUUUGAUCACAUAUCAUCAAAUUAAUUUGUCACAAAUUAUUUCAAGAUCACAAAUUAAAAAUUUUGUAAGUCACAAAUUAUUUCGAAAUCACGAAUAAAAAAUUUACAUGUCACAUAUUAUUUUGAAGUCAAAUUAAUUGGUCAAAGGUUACCAAAUUAUUUCGAGGUCAUGGAUAAAAAAUAUACAAGUCACAUUAUUUUGAAGUCAAAUUAAUUGGUCAUAGGUUGUCAAAAUUUAGGGUUACAUUUAAACAGUUGAUCACAGAUAACUAAAUGGUUAGUCAUAUACACCAAUUUCUUGAUCACAAACAAUCAAAACACUUGUGACCACCAUCAGCCACAUCGCCAACAAAACUCCAACCGCCAAUACCAUCGCCACCAUCUCCCGACAGCAUCGUCAUCUCGAAUGCCGCAACUAACACCACCUCCCCACCAACAAAACACAUACAAAGCCAACACCCCACAAAAGCCAUCACCACAACGUUAUCACCAUUUCACCAUCUCCGCCACCACCACAACCACAGUUUCCAACCAACACCCAGUCACGACCAGCCUUGUAAUCUCAAGCACCGCAAAUAGCACCGCCUUACCAUCUCCACCCCUGUCACGGCCAUCAGAUCCACCCCCCUUGUUGCCACCAAAUCCAGAUGCUGCACUUCCAACUCUCAUUUCACCACCAUCUCCACUCGUCAACCACAAUAGUCACCGCUAGUUCACCACCAGAUCCGUCACAUUCAAAACCAAACAAGAUUCGACAUAACACCUGAGUUGCGACUACAGCGACCGUCGUCACAUUGUCACCACCGCUACAACAUGGGAUUUGAAACUACUACAACGCCGUUGAAGAAUGACAUCACAACCACCAUCCAACAAAAAGAAAAAAUUCAACACUCCACCACAAAAAAUCGCUGCCUACUACCACCUCGAUCUCCACCACAUCACAAUCACCAUCCAACAAAAAGAAACUCCAAACCUGUCACCUCCAUUGCCGUCGGCACCACCAGAUCUACACAAGCAAAAUCAAUUACACAGGCAGAAGCAGCAUCAACGACAAUGGCAGCAUCGUCUCUCGCCAAGCGUUGCAAAGGCGUCAUUGUCUUCGUCCAGCGACGAGCUUACGGUGGUCUUCAUUGAUGAGAGAGAGAGAGAAAACCGAUGGUUGAGAGAGGUGAGAGAGAAAAUGAGAUACACGGAGAGAGAGAGGAUCACCUGCACUUGUGUAAUUUCCACUUGUGUCUUGAGCCCCAAAAGGGGCAAGGAUCACCUGCUUGAUUGGGUAAUCGGGUCGGCCCCAAGGCG
RNAcentral lists this long non-coding RNA (1310 nucleotides) under Olea europaea subsp. europaea. The record is from RNAcentral. Lineage: Eukaryota; Viridiplantae; Streptophyta; Magnoliopsida; Lamiales; Oleaceae.